AUCGCUUCUCAGCCUUUUGGCUAAGAUCAAGUGUAAAAAUUUGAUUAUAACAUAUUUUAGCAAUUAGUAAUUAAUAGAUAGUAGUUGUUGCACAUACUAUACUAGGCUUCUC
This is a small nuclear RNA of Heterocephalus glaber (naked mole-rat), 112 nucleotides long. Its record names the gene U2. It matches the Rfam family "U2 spliceosomal RNA". From Rfam's summary of the family: U2 is a small nuclear RNA (snRNA) component of the spliceosome (involved in pre-mRNA splicing). Complementary binding between U2 snRNA (in an area lying towards the 5' end but 3' to hairpin I) and the branchpoint sequence (BPS) of the intron results the bulging out of an unpaired adenosine, on the BPS, which initiates a nucleophilic attack at the intronic 5' splice site, thus starting the first of two transesterification reactions that mediate splicing. The record is from Ensembl. Lineage: Eukaryota; Metazoa; Chordata; Mammalia; Rodentia; Bathyergidae.